GCUCCGGUGACCUAGUGGAUAGAUUGUCUGCCUCAGAUGCUGAAGGUCGCCGGUUCGGACACCGGCCGACUCAUAGCA
Molecule: non-coding RNA, 78 nt
Organism: Potamilus streckersoni
Lineage: Eukaryota; Metazoa; Mollusca; Bivalvia; Unionida; Unionidae
Source: the annotation of a GenBank genome assembly